CAAAAACAUCUUUUCUUGUUAGUUUUUGAAGUAUGGCCUGCCCACUGACGUUUAAAGUUGAAGGGCCGCGGUAUUUUGACCGUGCAAAGGUAGCAUAAUCAUUAGUUCUUUAAUUGUGAUCUGGUAUGAAUGGCUUGACGAGACAUAAACUGUCUUAGAGGUAUUGGUCGUUGAAUUUGGUUUUUGAGUUAAAAUUCUUAGAUGUUUUUAUGGGACGAGAAGACCCUAUAGAGUUUGACAUUUUUUUUGCUUGUUAUAUAUUUGUUUGUUUUGUUUAUUUGAGUUGUUUAGAGUGUUUUGUUGGGGUGAUGGGAGGGAUAAUACUUAACCCCUCUUUGUUUGUGUAUAUUUAUUUAUAUUUGUUUGAUCCAUUUAUUUUGAUUAAAAGAUUAAAUUACCUU
This 401-nucleotide ribosomal RNA is filed under the name Genuotermes spinifer. Its description in RNAcentral is "partial 16S ribosomal RNA". The record is from RNAcentral. Lineage: Eukaryota; Metazoa; Arthropoda; Insecta; Blattodea; Termitidae.